Molecule: ribosomal RNA, 253 nt
Filed under: uncultured bacterium
Lineage: Bacteria
Description: partial 16S ribosomal RNA
Rfam family: Bacterial small subunit ribosomal RNA
Source: RNAcentral
CACGUAGGGGGCGAGCGUUGUCCGGAUUUAUUGGGCGUAAAGAGCGUGUAGGCGGUUUGGUAGGUCCGCUGUGAAAACUCGAGGCUCAACCUCGAGACGCCGGUGGAAACCAUCAGGCUAGAGUCCGGAAGAGGAGAGUGGAAUUCCUGGUGUAGCGGUGAAAUGCGCAGAUAUCAGGAAGAACACCCGUGGCUAAGGCGGCUCUCUAGUACGGUACUGACGCUGAGACGCGAAAGCGUGGGGAGCGAACAGG